CCAGUUUUUAAGUUGGUCCAAAUCUUGGUCCAAAAUUAAACUUUGUUUGAUUUCAACAAAAAUUGAAUAUAUGGGAUUCUUUGAUAUAUGCUGAAUCUAACCAUGUACAAUGUAUUUAGAUAUUUUGAUAUUUGGGCCCGGUUAUGAAAUUGGUCCACAUUGAGGUCUAAAGGGUCCAAAUUGAACUUUAUUUGAUUUCAUCAAAAAUUGAAUUCUUGGG
Molecule: long non-coding RNA, 220 nt
Filed under: Mytilus galloprovincialis (Mediterranean mussel)
Lineage: Eukaryota; Metazoa; Mollusca; Bivalvia; Mytilida; Mytilidae
Source: RNAcentral